GACGAACCGUGCGAACGUUAUUCGGAAUCACUGGGCUUAAAGCGCGUGUAGGCGGGCCGCCGCGUCGGCUGCUGAAAUCCCCCGGCUCAACCGGGGAACGGGCACCGAUACGGGCGGCCUCGAGGGGGGUAGGGGGGCCUGGAACUUCCGGUGGAGCGGUGAAAUGCGUAGAGAUCGGGAGGAACACCAGUGGCGAAGGCGGCCUUCUGGACCAAUACUGACGCUCAUGCACGAAAGCGUGGGGAGCAAACAGG
Molecule: ribosomal RNA, 254 nt
Filed under: uncultured bacterium
Lineage: Bacteria
Description: partial 16S ribosomal RNA
Rfam family: Bacterial small subunit ribosomal RNA
Source: RNAcentral